AGGAGCAGCACCAGGUGGAAGAAGAAGGUGGAGCUGGAGGCUCGGAAACGCCGCGGGGACGCCCUGGAGUUCCUCAGGAGGGUGUACUGGAGCACCGUCUGACCCAGGGAGAAGGAGAACAUGCCCAAGCUGGCCAGCUUCAGCACCACGCACCUGCGGACGAGGCGUGCGUCAUGCGGGGAUGCAUCAGAGGGUACGGGCCAGAUCUAUCCAGGCUGUUGCCUGAGACCCUGAAUCCUGGGCACUGCCCCUAUUUCAAAGCUGAGCCUCCGUCCAGCUUGCUUUAUCUCUCGCCAGUGUUUCUCAAAACACGUUCCUCAAACCUGACUCUACAGAGUCGCAGGGAAUGGGUCCUGUUUCUAAACCAGUUUGGGAAAUACUGCACCACCCAGCUAUAUAUACUCCUUGCUGCCAGUUUUAUAAUUUAUUCCGAUGCGUCGCACAAGAGAAACUCGGCACCUUCCCGAGUCCUCAGA
RNAcentral lists this long non-coding RNA (476 nucleotides) under Mus caroli (Ryukyu mouse). Its description in RNAcentral is "predicted gene 11724 (MGP_CAROLIEiJ_G0002749.1)". The record is from RNAcentral. Lineage: Eukaryota; Metazoa; Chordata; Mammalia; Rodentia; Muridae.